UAUAAUGAUGACAAAGAAGACGCAGUUCCGUUCAUUCGAGGACAAUUGCUCCCAGUCACACCUCUGCAGGAGACGCUGGCACGCGCACAGGUCCUCAUCGAUAUCACAGGCCACAACUUCACCCCUCCAAGGCGAAGAUGCUCAAAAAGAGAUACAUGCUCCUCCCUAGAAGUUAUAGAUCUAAGUGAAGAUGAUC
This is a long non-coding RNA of Cyprinus carpio (common carp), 196 nucleotides long. RefSeq lists it as uncharacterized. Lineage: Eukaryota; Metazoa; Chordata; Actinopteri; Cypriniformes; Cyprinidae. The record is from RefSeq and is a predicted model, not a curated record. The transcript is spliced from 3 exons.